RNAcentral lists this ribosomal RNA (320 nucleotides) under uncultured eukaryote. RNAcentral describes it as "partial 18S ribosomal RNA". It matches the Rfam family "Eukaryotic small subunit ribosomal RNA", at positions 1470 to 1796 of the family's 1831-position model. The record is from RNAcentral.
CCCCUAGAUGUUCUGGGCCGCACGCGCGCUACACUGAACAGUUCAACAAGUCUUAACCUUGGCCGAUAGGUCUGGGUAAUCUUUGAACGCUGUUCGUGAUUGGGAUAGACCUUUGCAAUUAUGGGUCUUCAACGAGGAAUUCCUAGUAAACGCAAGUCAUCAGCUUGCAUUGAUUACGUCCCUGCCCUUUGUACACACCGCCCGUCGCACCUACCGAUUGAAUGGUCCGGUGAAAUCUCGGGACGGCGGCUUGGUCGCUUGCGUCCGACUGCUGAAACUUGAUGAAACCAUAUCAUUUAGAGGAAGGUGAAGUCGUAACA